This is a long non-coding RNA of Alosa sapidissima (American shad), 1077 nucleotides long. RefSeq lists it as uncharacterized. Lineage: Eukaryota; Metazoa; Chordata; Actinopteri; Clupeiformes; Clupeidae. The record is from RefSeq and is a predicted model, not a curated record. The transcript is spliced from 2 exons.
GUGUGAGAGAGAGAGAUGGACAGCAAUGUCUCGAGAUGGUAUAGUUCAGUUCAGCCUGUACCCACAUACACACACAAUUCACACACACACUCUGUCACAUGGCCUCAGGUCAUAGAGGGUGUGAGGUUGAAGCUUUGUAAUUACUGAGAUAAUAGACCUGUUUUCCACACUAGUGGACACACACACACACACUCUGAUAAUAGGAAUGUGUUUUCACACUGCUGUCCUCUUCAACUCCAUGCUGCCAAUUCGCCCACCUUGCCCUUUAGAUUUUCAUACACUCACACAGAUGGAGAGAUAGAGAGAAUGUUAGAUGGCUUGUAGCCAGGCCCCACUCGUAUUCUCCUGCUUGCAGCUCAUGUAACCAUAUGGCAUCUCAGAGAAAGCCGACUCCUGGAGCGCACCCAGGCAGGGUCAGCUGAGGGUAUCUGCAGGCCAUCCAGCGCCAUGCAGUCAGCUGAGUUUCUGUGGUUCUGCUCUGUGCAGCAGCUUCUGAGACCUGACCCAUCAUACUGUCAGCUGAGGUUCUGGAGUUGACUCGGUGUGAUACAGCCAGCAGAUGUUCCGGAGUUGACACGGCAUCACACAUUAAGCUGCGGUUCCAGAGUUGACACAGCAUCACACAGUCUGUCAGGUUUCGUAAAUAGUUCGGACCCAAGUGCAGAGUUAGUUCAAAAAGUUUAUUCAACAGAAGAAAACAACUCCAACAAAAAACUUCCCGUCAUACGGUGGAAACUGAACAAAAGGCAGACCCUCGGUCACAAAACUGAAAAUGGCAAAAGGCUGACAAACCAAAAACACAGUCCAAAGAGUAAUACACAGGCAGGCAAAGGUCAGGUCCGAGAAGCAGUCCAAAAGGCACAGACAGGCAGAUAAUCCAAAACGGCAGGCAAAUCCAAAAGACAGGUCACAGGCAGAAUUCAAACAGGUGGGUAGACAGAACAACAGGUAGAAUCCAACAGAGGCUUGAAAGUGCUCAGACAAAUCGCUGGGACAAUCUGACAAACUGGGGCUGACAACACACAGAAUAAGUAGGCCUAAUCAUUAGGACUAAAUAAAGAACAGGUGAGCAGACAA